AUCCUUUUGCAGUUCAUAAACAUGAUGAUUGGAUUUUCACACUGAUGUGUGAGAUGUGCCUCCCUCAAACCUUAUUACAAAGCAGGCACAUUACCCGUCUGAUG
Small nucleolar RNA from Prolemur simus (greater bamboo lemur), 104 nucleotides. The record is from Ensembl. NCBI's taxonomy places the organism in Eukaryota, Metazoa, Chordata, Mammalia, Primates, Lemuridae.